Molecule: ribosomal RNA, 497 nt
Filed under: uncultured bacterium
Lineage: Bacteria
Description: partial 16S ribosomal RNA
Rfam family: Bacterial small subunit ribosomal RNA
Source: RNAcentral
GAUGAACGCUGGCGGCGUGCCUAAUACAUGCAAGUCGAGCGAACAGAUGAGGAGCUUGCUCCUCUGACGUUAGCGGCGGACGGGUGAGUAACACGUGGAUAACCUACCUAUAAGACUGGGAUAACUUCGGGAAACCGGAGCUAAUACCGGAUAAUAUAUUGAACCGCAUGGUUCAAUAGUGAAAGACGGUUUUGCUGUCACUUAUAGAUGGAUCCGCGCCGCAUUAGCUAGUCGGUAAGGUAACGGCUUACCAAGGCAACGAUGCGUAGCCGACCUGAGAGGGGGAUCGGCCACACUGGAACUGAGACACGGUCCAGACUCCUACGAGAGGCAGCAGUAGGGAAUCUUCCGCAAUGGGCGAAAGCCUGACGGAGCAACGCCGCGUGAGUGAUGAAGGUCUUCGGAUCGUAAAACUCUGUUAUUAGGGAAGAACAAAUGUGUAAGUAACUAUGCACGUCUUGACGGUACCUAAUCAGAAAGCCACGGCUAACUACGUG